Molecule: non-coding RNA, 76 nt
Filed under: unclassified sequences
Source: RNAcentral
CCCCCGUGGAGGCGCCACCUCUACGCGGUGCGGGGGAGGCAACUGUGCCUGCGAAAAGGCACAGGCUGAGAGCGCC